CCUACGGGAGGCAGCAGUGAGGAAUAUUGGUCAAUGGACGAGAGUCUGAACCAGCCAAGUAGCGUGAAGGAUGACUGCCCUAUGGGUUGUAAACUUCUUUUAUAUGGGAAUAAAACGUUCCACGUGUGGGAUUUUGUAUGUACCAUAUGAAUAAGGAUCGGCUAACUCCGUGCCAGCAGCCGCGGUAAUACGGAGGAUCCGAGCGUUAUCCGGAUUUAUUGGGUUUAAAGGGAGCGUAGGUGGAUUGUUAAGUCAGUUGUGAAAGUUUGCGGCUCAACCGUAAAAUUGCAGCUGAAACUGGCAGUCUUGAGUACAGUAGAGGUGGGCGGAAUUCGUGGUGUAGCGGUGAAAUGCUUAGAUAUCACGAAGAACUCCGAUUGCGAAGGCAGUUCACUGGACUGCAACUGACACUGAGGCUCGAAAGUGUGGGUAUCAAACAGGAUUAGAUACCCCGGUAGUC
RNAcentral lists this ribosomal RNA (460 nucleotides) under uncultured bacterium. Its description in RNAcentral is "partial 16S ribosomal RNA". It matches the Rfam family "Bacterial small subunit ribosomal RNA", at positions 338 to 795 of the family's 1533-position model. The record is from RNAcentral.